GAUGAACGCUGGCGGCGUGCCUAAUACAUGCAAGUCGAGCGAACAGAUGAGGAGCUUUCUCCUCAGACGUUAGCGGCGGACGGGUGCGUACCGCGUGGUAACACUACCUUUAACUCUGGGUUAACUUCGGAAAACCGGAGCUAAUACCGGCUAAUAUCUCAUACCGCAUGGUUCAAUAGUGAAAGACGGUGUUACUGUCACUCAUGGAUGGAUCCGCGCCGCAUUAGCUAGUUGGUAAGGUAACGGCUUACCAAGGCAACGAUGCGUAGCCGACCUGAGAGGGUGAUCGGCCACACUGGAACUGAGACACGGUCCAGACUCCUACGGGAGGCAGCAGUAGGGAAUCUUCCGCAAUGGGCGAAAGCCUGACGGAGCAACGCCGCGUGAGUGAUGAAGGUUUUCGGAUCGUAAAACUCUGUUAUUAGGGAAGAACAAAUGUGUAAGUAACUAUGCACGUCCUGACGGUACCUAAUCAGAAAGCCACGGCUAACUACGUG
RNAcentral lists this ribosomal RNA (497 nucleotides) under uncultured bacterium. RNAcentral describes it as "partial 16S ribosomal RNA". It matches the Rfam family "Bacterial small subunit ribosomal RNA", at positions 28 to 507 of the family's 1533-position model. The record is from RNAcentral.